CCUACGGGUGGCAGCAGUCGAGAAUCAUUCACAAUGGAGGAAACCCUGAUGGUGCGACGCCGCGUGGGGGAAUGAAGGUCUUCGGAUUGUAAACCCCUGUCAUGUGGGAGCAAAAUAAAAAGAUAGUACCCCAAGAUGAAGAGACGGCUAACUCUGGGCCAGCAGCCGCGGUAAUACGGAGGUGUCAAGCGUUGUUCGGAAUGAGUGGGCGUAAAGCGUGCGUAGGCUGUUUUGUAAGUCGUGUGUGAAAGGCGCGGGCUCAACCCGCGGACGGCACAUGAUACUGCGAGACUAGAGUAAUGGAGGGGGAACCGGAAUUCUCGGUGUAGCAGUGAAAUGCGUAGAUAUCGAGAGGAACACUCGUGGCGAAGGCGGGUUCCUGGACAGUAACUGACGCUGAGGCACGAAGGCCAGGGGAGCGAAAGGGAUUAGAUACCCCGGUAGUC
Molecule: ribosomal RNA, 446 nt
Filed under: uncultured bacterium
Lineage: Bacteria
Description: partial 16S ribosomal RNA
Rfam family: Bacterial small subunit ribosomal RNA
Source: RNAcentral